GGUACAUCGGUGACAGGUGGUGCAUGGUUGUCGUCAGCUCGUGUCGUGAGAUGUUGGUUAAGUCCCGCAACGAGCGCAACCCCUAUUGUUAGUUGCCAUCAUUCAGUUUGGGCACUCUAGCGAGACUGCCGGUAAUAAACCGGAGGAAGUGGGAUGACGUCAAUCAUCAUGCCCCUUAUGACCUGGGCUACACACGUGCUACAAUGGUUGGUACAACGAGUUGCGAGUCGGUGACGGCGAGCUAAUCUCUUAAAGCCAAUCUCAGUUCGGAUUGUAGGCUGCAACUCGCCUACAUGAAGUCGGAAUCGCUAGUAAUCGCGGAUCAGCACGCCCGCGGUCGAAUACGUUCCCGGGCCUU
RNAcentral lists this ribosomal RNA (358 nucleotides) under uncultured Streptococcus sp. RNAcentral describes it as "bacterial SSU rRNA". It matches the Rfam family "Bacterial small subunit ribosomal RNA", at positions 1022 to 1382 of the family's 1533-position model. Lineage: Bacteria; Bacillati; Bacillota; Bacilli; Lactobacillales; Streptococcaceae. The record is from RNAcentral.